Pollicipes pollicipes is the source of this 243-nucleotide long non-coding RNA. RefSeq lists it as uncharacterized. The transcript is spliced from 3 exons. The record is from RefSeq and is a predicted model, not a curated record. Lineage: Eukaryota; Metazoa; Arthropoda; Thecostraca; Pollicipedomorpha; Pollicipedidae.
CUGACAUCACUGGUGUCGUCCACUACACCACCACCAAUGGACAUGGGCCCGGUGCGAACAGAGGAGGAGGAGCCCAGCUUUAUAGAACAAUACAUCUACGGCAUUUCGUACCAGUUGUAUAACGUUUUCGGCUGCCUGCUGUGCGUCAUCGUGGGAUCCGUCGUCAGUCUUAUUACAGGAUGUAAUCGACGGAAGGUUUCCAAAUCGCUGAUGAAUCCUAUCACCUACAAGCUCUUAAACGGG